GAUGAACGCUGGCGGCGUGCCUAAUACAUGCAAGUCGAGCGAACAGACGAGGAGCUUGCUCCUCUGACGUUAGCGUCGGACGGGUGAGUAACACGUGGAUAACCUACCUAUAAGACUGGGAUAACUUCGGGAAACCGGAGCUAAUACCGGAUAAUAUAUUGAACCGCAUGGUUCAAUAGUGAAAGACGGUUUUGCUGUCACUUAUAGAUGGAUCCGCGCCGCAUUAGCUAGUUGGUAAGGUAACGGCUCACCAAGGCAACGAUGCGUAGCCGACCUGAGAGGGUGAUCAGCCACACUGGAACUGAGACACGGUCCAGACUCCUACGGGAGGCAGCAGUAGGGAAUCUUCCGCAAUGGGCGAAAGCCUGACGGAGCAACGCCGCGUGAGUGAUGAAGGUCUUCGGAUCGUAAAACUCUGUUAUUAGGGAAGAACAAAUGUGUAAGUAACUAUGCACGUCUUGACGGUACCUAAUCAGAAAGCCACGGCUAACUACGUG
RNAcentral lists this ribosomal RNA (497 nucleotides) under uncultured bacterium. Its description in RNAcentral is "partial 16S ribosomal RNA". It matches the Rfam family "Bacterial small subunit ribosomal RNA", at positions 28 to 507 of the family's 1533-position model. The record is from RNAcentral.